RNAcentral lists this ribosomal RNA (250 nucleotides) under uncultured bacterium. Its description in RNAcentral is "partial 16S ribosomal RNA". It matches the Rfam family "Bacterial small subunit ribosomal RNA", at positions 523 to 771 of the family's 1533-position model. The record is from RNAcentral.
AUACGGUAGGGGGCUAGCGUUAUCCGGAUUUACUGGGCGUAAAGGGUGCGUAGGUGGUUUCUUAAGUCAGGAGUGAAAGGCUACGGCUUAACCGUAGUAAGCCUUUGAAACUGGGAAACUUGAGUGCAGGAGAGGAGAGUGGAAUUCCUAGUGUAGCGGUGAAAUGCGUAGAUAUUAGGAGGAACACCAGUUGCGAAGGCGGCUCUCUGGACUGUAACUGACACUGAGGCAACGAAAGCGGUGGGGAGAC